UUGAACGCUGGCGGCAUGCUUUACACAUGCAAGUCGAACGGUAGACCCUUUCGGGGGUUGAGAGUGGCGAACGGGUGAGUAAUGCAUCGGAUCAUACCCAGUCGUGGGGGAUAACGUAGCGAAAGUUACGCUAAUACCGCAUGAGUCCUGAGGGAGAAAGCGGGGGAUCGCAAGACCUCGCGCGAUUGGAGUGGCCGAUGUCAGAUUAGCUAGUUGGUGGGGUAAAGGCCUACCAAGGCGACGAUCUGUAGCGGGUCUGAGAGGAUGAUCCGCCACACUGGGACUGAGACACGGCCCAGACUCCUACGGGAGGCAGCAGUGGGGAAUUUUGGACAAUGGGCGAAAGCCUGAUCCAGCCAUGCCGCGUGCGGGAAGAAGGCCUUCGGGUUGUAAAGCUCUUUCGGCCGGGAAGAAAUCGUGGUCUCUAACAUAGGCCAUGGAUGACGGUACCGGACUAAGAAGCACCGGCUAACUACGU
RNAcentral lists this ribosomal RNA (478 nucleotides) under uncultured bacterium. RNAcentral describes it as "bacterial SSU rRNA". It matches the Rfam family "Bacterial small subunit ribosomal RNA", at positions 30 to 506 of the family's 1533-position model. The record is from RNAcentral.